Molecule: ribosomal RNA, 519 nt
Filed under: uncultured bacterium
Lineage: Bacteria
Description: bacterial SSU rRNA
Rfam family: Bacterial small subunit ribosomal RNA
Source: RNAcentral
UGAGGAAUAUUGGUCAAUGGACGGAAGUCUGAACCAGCCAAGUCGCGUGAAGGAAGACGGCGCUAUGCGUUGUAAACUUCUUUUGCAGGGGAAUAAAAAGCGGGACGCGUCCUGUAUUGUAUGUACUCUGCGAAUAAGCAUCGGCUAACUCCGUGCCAGCAGCCGCGGUAAUACGGAGGAUGCGAGCGUUAUCCGGAUUUAUUGGGUUUAAAGGGUGCGUAGGCGGUUUUACAAGUCAGAGGUGAAAUCUUGUCGCUUAACGAUAAGAUUGCCUUUGAAACUGUUGAACUUGAGUGUAAAUGAGGCAGGCGGAAUGUGAUGUGUAGCGGUGAAAUGCAUAGAUAUGUCACAGAACACCGAUUGCGAAGGCAGCUUGCUGGGAUACGACUGACGCUGAUGCACGAAAGCGUGGGGAUCAAACAGGAUUAGAUACCCUGGUAGUCCACGCAGUAAACGAUGAUUACUAACUGUUGGCGAUAUAUUGUCAGUGGUCAAGCGAAAGCGAUAAGUAAUCCACCU